Molecule: small RNA, 413 nt
Filed under: Pongo abelii (Sumatran orangutan)
Lineage: Eukaryota; Metazoa; Chordata; Mammalia; Primates; Hominidae
Description: retained intron
Source: RNAcentral
GAUUCGGGGGCGCUAAAGUCGCAGGGGCAGGGCGGGAAGGAAGAUCCGGCGCGGGGCAUAGGAUCCGGAGCUGGAGCCCCCAGAAUUUUCCCACUGUAAAAAAUCAAGCAGGUCUGGACAAGUGAGGCUGGCUCCAUGUAUCCAGAAUCAACGACGGGCUCCCCGGCUCGGCUCUCCCUGCGGCAGACGGGCUCCCCCGGGAUGAUCUACAGUACUCGGUAUGGGAGUCCCAAAAGACAGCUCCAGUUUUACAGGAACCUGGGCAAGUCUGGCCUGCGGGUCUCCUGCCUGGGACUUGGAACAUGGGUGACCUUCGGAGGCCAGAUCACCGAUGAGGUAAGAUGGGGCUCUCCCAGCACCCCAGAGCCCAGCACGGGCUCGCCAGAGCACAUGGAUAAGUCUGCUGCGUGGAC